This 1026-nucleotide ribosomal RNA is filed under the name Saccharata proteae. Its description in RNAcentral is "SSU rRNA". It matches the Rfam family "Eukaryotic small subunit ribosomal RNA", at positions 84 to 1119 of the family's 1831-position model. The record is from RNAcentral. Lineage: Eukaryota; Fungi; Ascomycota; Dothideomycetes; Botryosphaeriales; Saccharataceae.
AAACUGCGAAUGGCUCAUUAAAUCAGUUAUCGUUUAUUUGAUAGUACCUUUUCACUUGGAUAACCGUGGAAAAGCUAGAGCUAAUACAUGCUAAAAACCCCGACUUCGGAAGGGGUGUAUUUAUUAGAUAAAAAACCAAUGCCCCUCGGGGCUCACUGGUGAUUCAUAAUAACUUAACGAAUCGCAUGGCCUUGCGCCGGCGAUGGUUCAUUCAAAUUUCUGCCCUAUCAACUUUCGAUGGUAGGAUAGUGGCCUACCAUGGUAUCAACGGGUAACGGGGAAUUAGGGUUCUAUUCCGGAGAGGGAGCCUGAGAAACGGCUACCACAUCCAAGGAAGGCAGCAGGCGCGCAAAUUACCCAAUCCCGACACGGGGAGGUAGUGACAAUAAAUACUGAUACAGGGCUCUUUUGGGUCUUGUAAUUGGAAUGAGAACAAUUUAAAUACCUUAACGAGGAACAAUUGGAGGGCAAGUCUGGUGCCAGCAGCCGCGGUAAUUCCAGCUCCAAUAGCGUAUAUUAAAGUUGUUGCAGUUAAAAAGCUCGUAGUUGAACCUUGGGCCUGGCUGGCCGGUCCGCCUCACCGCGUGCACUGGUCCGGCCGGGCCUUUCCUUCUGGGGAACUGCAUGCCCUUCACUGGGUGUGUCAGGGAACCAGGACUUUUACUUUGAAAAAAUUAGAGUGUUCAAAGCAGGCCUUUGCUCGAAUACAUUAGCAUGGAAUAAUAGAAUAGGACGUGCGGCCCUAUUUUGUUGGUUUCUAGGACCGCCGUAAUGAUUAAUAGGGAUAGUCGGGGGCGUCAGUAUUCAAUUGUCAGAGGUGAAAUUCUUGGAUUUAUUGAAGACUAGCUACUGCGAAAGCAUUCGCCAAGGAUGUUUUCAUUAAUCAGUGAACGAAAGUUAGGGGAUCGAAGACGAUCAGAUACCGUCGUAGUCUUAACCGUAAACUAUGCCGACUAGGGAUCGGACGAUGUUAUUAUUUUGACUCGUUCGGCACCUUACGAGAAAUCAAAGUCUUUGGGUCUGGGG